RNAcentral lists this ribosomal RNA (253 nucleotides) under uncultured bacterium. Its description in RNAcentral is "partial 16S ribosomal RNA". It matches the Rfam family "Bacterial small subunit ribosomal RNA", at positions 524 to 776 of the family's 1533-position model. The record is from RNAcentral.
UACGUAGGGGGCAAGCGUUGUCCGGAAUCAUUGGGCGUAAAGAGCGUGUAGGCGGUCCUGUAAGUCCGCUGUGAAAGUCAAGGGCUCAACCCUUGAAUGCCGGUGGAUACUGCAGGACUAGAGUCCGGAAGAGGCGAGUGGAAUUCCUGGUGUAGCGGUGAAAUGCGCAGAUAUCAGGAGGAACACCAAUGGCGAAGGCAGCUCGCUGGAACGGUACUGACGCUGUGGCGCGAAAGCGUGGGGAGCGAACAGG